Molecule: long non-coding RNA, 777 nt
Organism: Callorhinus ursinus (northern fur seal)
Lineage: Eukaryota; Metazoa; Chordata; Mammalia; Carnivora; Otariidae
Source: RefSeq, a predicted model, not a curated record
UCUGCCCCUCCAAGCCCACAGAAGUGUGGAAGUGGCCGGGUCAGCCAACAUUAGCACCCGGUCACCUCACUCUUGGAACAGGGCUCCCGGUGGAGGAGGCCCAGUGCUGGCUCAGCCGGGUUGGAGCUCCUGACAAGGGGGUUCACCACCUUGUGGCUGGACAGAUGUGUUUUCUGAUGGCUCAGCAGACCGAGUGCCAGCCCUCUGCUGGGCCCCGGGCGACCCCACAGUGACGCAGGGAAAGCCCCGCUCUUGCAGCUCACGGGAAAGAGCAGACACCAUCGUGUCAACUCCGCAGCCUUGUUCUUCAGGCCUCUCCUCCAACUCUAUGCUUACACUGCCGAGAACGCUGCCCCCUCGCAGACCCUCACCGUACCAUCCUGUCCCUGCCCUUGCCCCGCGGUAUCCAAUGUCACACCAGAGGGAUUCAGUCACAAUGCCAGGGCCUCGGUGCCUUCCUGGCACAAGAAGUGGUUGAUGGAUGGACAAAGACCUCAAGGGGCAGCAGGAAGGGGCCCAUGUAGGCAGCACUGCCCAUCGGGGUGCCCGUAUCCAGAGGACCCUGGAAGCAUCAGCGUCCUCACCCGGUGCAGCCCCAGGAGGGGCCCUAUGGUCGUACCAAGUAUCACCUCACCAGCUUGCUUGCUGUAGGGAGGAACAAAGGAGGCUCGGAACACCCUGGCAGGCUUGCUCCUGGGCUGGGCCAGGGCCACUGGCUGCACCCCUGCACCCUCUGGCAGCUUGCCUCCCAGUUGGGAACAGUGAGGAGCAAGUGCC